RNAcentral lists this ribosomal RNA (471 nucleotides) under uncultured bacterium. Its description in RNAcentral is "bacterial SSU rRNA". It matches the Rfam family "Bacterial small subunit ribosomal RNA", at positions 28 to 545 of the family's 1533-position model. The record is from RNAcentral.
AACGAACGCUGGCGGCAUGCCUAACACAUGCAAGUCGAACGAGACCUUCGGGUCUAGUGGCGCACGGGUGCGUAACGCGUGGGAACCUGCCCUUAGGUUCGGAAUAACUCCCCGAAAGGGGUGCUAAUACCGGAUAAUGUCUUCGGACCAAAGAUUUAUCGCCUUUGGAUGGGCCCGCGUUGGAUUAGCUAGUUGGUGAGGUAAAAGCUCACCAAGGCGACGAUCCAUAGCUGGUCUGAGAGGAUGAUCAGCCACACUGGGACUGAGACACGGCCCAGACUCCUACGGGAGGCAGCAGUGGGGAAUAUUGGACAAUGGGCGAAAGCCUGAUCCAGCAAUGCCGCGUGAGUGAUGAAGGCCUUAGGGUUGUAAAGCUCUUUUACCCGGGAUGAUAAUGACAGUACCGGGAGAAUAAGCUCCGGCUAACUCCGUGCCAGCAGCCGCGGUAAUACGGAGGGAGCUAGCGUUGUU